Molecule: ribosomal RNA, 204 nt
Filed under: Penicillium cyaneum
Lineage: Eukaryota; Fungi; Ascomycota; Eurotiomycetes; Eurotiales; Aspergillaceae
Description: partial 28S ribosomal RNA
Rfam family: Eukaryotic large subunit ribosomal RNA
Source: RNAcentral
UUGACCUCGGAUCAGGUAGGGAUACCCGCUGAACUUAAGCAUAUCAAUAAGCGGAGGAAAAGAAACCAACAGGGAUUGCCUCAGUAACGGCGAGUGAAGCGGCAAGAGCUCAAAUUUGAAAGCUGGCCCCCCCGGGGCCCGCGUUGUAAUUUGCAGAGGAUGCUUCGGGAGCGGCCCCCAUCUAAGUGCCCUGGAACGGGCCGU